AAGUCGUAACAAGGUUUCCGUAGGUGAACCUGCGGAAGGAUCAUUAAUGAAACGUCAGGACGCUCUUUUUAGAGGUCCGAACAAUCAUUACCUUCACCCUGUGCACAAACUGUUUUACACAAUAUUACACACCAAAGUCUUUGAAUGUCAAGUCUCUGAAAAGAGCAUAAACAAAUACAACUUUCGGCAACGGAUCUCUUGGCUCCC
Molecule: unclassified non-coding RNA, 207 nt
Filed under: fungal sp.
Lineage: Eukaryota; Fungi
Description: partial contains small subunit ribosomal RNA, internal transcribed spacer 1, and 5.8S ribosomal RNA
Rfam family: Eukaryotic small subunit ribosomal RNA (bases 1-46)
Source: RNAcentral